CAAAGGCACACCGCCAUGAUGACUGCCUAAAUGCCUCAGCUGGUUUAAAGUCAUGCUGCCAUUACAUGGAGUUUCAGAGACGAAGUCACAUGCACACUCUGGCUGGUGGAAAGCUGUGGCUGAACCAGAACAUUGCACGUGUAUUCACCCUCAUCCACCUCUUUCUGCACAUCUGAGAGCUUUAAUGUCCCAUUGUUUUCAAAAGCUACUUGGCGAUGGUUAAAAGGAAGCAGGAGCUGAUUUGACAAGCACCUCUUACGUUUAUUCGAGCCUGGUAGAGGACGACUCCAGCAGAAUUGUUGGCAGUGCAGCGAUAGACCCCUCCAUCUCGGACCUGAGUGCUGGAGAUAUUCAGGUAACUGACCACG
Long non-coding RNA from Anolis carolinensis (green anole), 368 nucleotides. RefSeq lists it as uncharacterized. The record is from RefSeq and is a predicted model, not a curated record. The transcript is spliced from 3 exons. NCBI's taxonomy places the organism in Eukaryota, Metazoa, Chordata, Lepidosauria, Squamata, Anolidae.